AGCAUCUCCAGAGGUCAGGGCAGUAUGUGCUCAGUGUUCAGGAACCGGGCUGAGGGUCAGCUUUGGGCAGGCUGGGGAGAGGGAAGCAGCGCUCUGGUCUGCGCUAGUAGUGAAGGCACAGGCAGGGACACUGUUCCCUGUGCAGGGCUCAGCUUGCUUUGCUCUUCAUUCCAAAUAGCACAGGGUGGAGCUUGUCAGUGCUCCUGUCUGACCAAACGACUUUGUUUCUUGCCAGGGAGAAGUGGAAAAGAUUGAACUACAAAACAAAAAUUUGCUUAAAGAAAAGGAGGAUCUGCAAGCAAGCUGUGCAGGUCUCCAGAAACAAAACAGCGAUCUGCAGGAAGAGCUCAGGAACACACAGGACAAUUUAGUGUCUCUGAGGAGCAACACAGAGAAACUGGAGCUGGAGCUGAAUGCCCUGGAAAAGGAAAAGCAACAUCUAAAGGAGCUGGAUGACUGUAGAAAGGCAGAACUGCACGAGCUCAAAGCGCAAAUUCAGAAUGUGACCUCUGACAAGGAACAACUGGACACGAGACUGAAAACAGCCCUGGAUCACAUGGAUCAGCUGCAGUCUCAGGUGUUGAGUUAUGAGAAAGAAGUGGAAAACUUGUCUCUCGUGGACCGUGACAAGGCAAAGAAGCUCGAACAUUUAAAGAAGGAGAAUCAGCAGUUACGCAUGAGUCGAAGUCAACAGCAACAGAACUCAAUGAAAGAACUUGAGGAGCAGAAGCGUUUUGUUCAGGUUCUGCAGGCAAGAAAGAAUGAAGCUGAUGAGGAAAAGCGGAAACUAAAAGAAAAGAAUAACGGGCUCCUGAGGCUUCUCUCGCAGGUUUCUUCACAAACUCAAACUUCAGUUCCAGCUUCUGAACUAGGAGAUCUUCUGUUUGGAAAUCCAUAUUAUGCUCCAGGAAUAAACCUGUUGGCAGAAGCUGCAGACAUAAACAAUUUGGACCUUCAGCAUUGUCAUCCUCCUCCAGAAGCACGGUGCUGAGGUUUGGGGUGCAGACGAGGGGGAGGCAGAGGGCGUGGAGCAGAACACAGUCUGGGAAUGCUGCUGCUGCUUCUCUUCACAUCACCUUAAUGAGGCUCCUGCGGAGAGCAGAGGGAGCUGAAAGGAAAUAAAAAGAUUCCUGACAAAAGGAAUGUAAAUAGA
RNAcentral lists this long non-coding RNA (1153 nucleotides) under Athene cunicularia (burrowing owl). Its description in RNAcentral is "lncRNA (ENSACUG00000009609.1)". Lineage: Eukaryota; Metazoa; Chordata; Aves; Strigiformes; Strigidae. The record is from RNAcentral.